CUUCGAGCUUUCGGUCCAGUGCCCGGCGAGGCAGACUGCGCUCGCUCGUCUCGCUCGGCUGCUGGCUGGCUGGCUGCUGUUGGGGCAAGACAAAGCAGUGGUUGUGCCCCGGGAUCUGUGGCCUCAGCACGGCAAAAAGUUCUCACACACAGUGAAAGAUCGGAAAGGAUGGAAAGAGAAUGAGAGUGGGGGAAACAACAAAGUUGGCUGACAUCGCUGGAGCAGGAACAGAUGAGGAGGAUGAGGAGUACCCCGCCGAAUAGCAACAGCAAAAUAUACAGGAUAGCCUCAGUCUUCCUUACUUCUAUGACAAGAGCAGCUUGGCAAAGGUAACACAUGACAACAGAAGGGGCUGAGGGCAGAGGCCCCUGUGUAUACACCAGCAGCUGGCUCUACUAUCCUGUUCCAAUGAUGCUGUUUACCAAAUACGGCGGAGAGAGGAACCUCUAAAGGUCAAACAGGGAUGCUGCAUCAUGUUAAAAUAAUGAACGUAGAAAUUAAAAGGUGACUUGACUCUCACGUUGUUGCCAUACACAGUUAGAGACUAAACCGGUUUAUUAAAGAGGAAGUCAAGUCCAAAAUUAUCUUUACAAUAAUAUGUUCUAUGCGGCCCUGUCAGUCUAAACACAGUAUUCUGAUUCAUAAUGUGUUUUGUAGACCAUGAAUUAAGAUGCAAAAUCCACCUGUUUUAACCAUCUCAUGGGGUGGCCAUUUUGCCACUUGCUGUUGACCGAAAAUGACAUUGCAGUGUCUAAUGGCUCAGCUAACAAACGUCACUUGACCAACCCAACCUCCCCCACCCAGAAAACAAGUGAGUCAUGAUUGAUCAUUCCCUGAGCCUUUCGGCACUGUGAUCACAUUUUCAAUUGACGGCAAGUGGCAGUACAAGGCAAAAUGGAUACCCUUUGAGAUGCAUGUGGUCAGCUGGAUUGCUGCUUAAUUCGUAUUCCACAAACGCAAUUUUA
This is a long non-coding RNA of Hippocampus comes (tiger tail seahorse), 965 nucleotides long. RefSeq lists it as uncharacterized. The record is from RefSeq and is a predicted model, not a curated record. The transcript is spliced from 3 exons. Lineage: Eukaryota; Metazoa; Chordata; Actinopteri; Syngnathiformes; Syngnathidae.